UGAGCAAUCUGCCCUUCUCUUCGGAAUAAGCGUGGGAAACCGUGUCUAAUGCCGAAUACGACCUCCUUUCGCAUGAUCGGAGGUGGAAAGCUCCGGCGGAGAAGGAUGAGCUCGCGGCCUAUCAGCUAGUUGGUGUGGGUAAUGGCCCACCAAGGCGACGACGGGUAGCCGGCCUGAGAGGGUGACCGGCCACACGUGGGACUGAGACACGGCCCAGACCUCCGUACGGGAGGNAGCG
Molecule: ribosomal RNA, 238 nt
Filed under: uncultured bacterium
Lineage: Bacteria
Description: partial 16S ribosomal RNA
Rfam family: Bacterial small subunit ribosomal RNA
Source: RNAcentral